RNAcentral lists this ribosomal RNA (499 nucleotides) under uncultured bacterium. RNAcentral's name for it is "partial 16S ribosomal RNA". It matches the Rfam family "Bacterial small subunit ribosomal RNA", at positions 28 to 507 of the family's 1533-position model. The record is from RNAcentral.
GACGAACGCUGGCGGCGUGCCUAAUACAUGCAAGUCGAGCGAAGUUUUUCUGGUUCUUGCACUAGAAAAACUUAGCGGCGAACGGGUGAGUAACACGUAAAGAACCUGCCUCAUAGACUGGGACAACUAUUGGAAACGAUAGCUAAUACCGGAUAACAGUAUUUCUCGCAUGAGAGAUAUUUAAAAGUUGGUUAUGCUAAUACUAUGAGAUGGCUUUGCGGUGCAUUAGCUAGUUGGUGGGGUAAAGGCCCACCAAGGCGACGAUGCAUAGCCGACCUGAGAGGGUGAUCGGCCACACUGGGACUGAGACACGGCCCAGACUCCUACGGGAGGCAGCAGUAGGGAAUCUUCCGCAAUGGGCGAAAGCCUGACGGAGCAACGCCGCGUGAGUGAAGAAGGAUUUCGGUUCGUAAAGCUCUGUUGUUAGGGAAGAAUGGAUAUGUAGUAACUAUACAUGUAAGAGACGGUACCUAACCAGAAAGCCACGGCUAACUACGUG